This is a long non-coding RNA of Arvicola amphibius (Eurasian water vole), 414 nucleotides long. RefSeq lists it as uncharacterized. NCBI's taxonomy places the organism in Eukaryota, Metazoa, Chordata, Mammalia, Rodentia, Cricetidae. The transcript has 3 exons. The record is from RefSeq and is a predicted model, not a curated record.
UUGGGCGUGGUUACUGAGCGCCUCCUGGGCUUCCCCGGCGAUUUCGCGAGCUCUUGGCUUUAGGCGCACGGUGGUACUUUAAUCCCAGCACUCGAAGGAAGAGGCAGGAGGACCUUAUGAAUUUGAGAACAGUCAGAGUUCAAGGCAUGCCAGGGGCUACGUGGCAAGACCCUGCCUACAAAACAACCCCCACCCCCAACCAAAACAAGAUUUCAAGGUCCCAAGGAGCUUCAGGGAGGGAGGCAGCUUUGCGGUGCUGUCGCCAUGGAGAUGGAGGAUACAGGCAGGUCCUUUGGGAAAGAACCUCAGACUUUGGAUUUGUGCUGAAGGCAGAAUGACUUGGAUUCGUUCUCUGUCCAGUCCCUGGAACACAGAAGACGCUCAAUAAAUACUUGUUAAGGAAUUUCGCCCAGA